AAAAAAAAAAAAAAAACCAUAUCAUUGAGGAUGUCAUGAAUCAAUGAAACAACUUAUCCCAACAAACAAUGAAAUGAAUCUGUAAUUCUGUAUUCAAACAAAGAGGGAAAAUUUUUUUGAACUCUCUACAAGAAAGACAAAAACUGCCACCAAACAUGAGUCAAAAGAGAGUUUUACACAAAAUAUUUUGCAAAAUACUCAUCAAUGAAAUUCCCAAGUUCCAAUAAUGAAAAUAAUAUGUUAAAAGUAAAGUAUGAAAGCACACAUCACAUUCUGUCUGUCCAGGUCG
Molecule: unclassified non-coding RNA, 289 nt
Filed under: Hevea brasiliensis (rubber tree)
Lineage: Eukaryota; Viridiplantae; Streptophyta; Magnoliopsida; Malpighiales; Euphorbiaceae
Source: RNAcentral